UACGUAGGGCGCAAGCGUUGUCCGGAAUUAUUGGGCGUAAAGAGCUCGUAGGUGGUUUGUUACGUCUGCUGUGAAAACCUAGGGCUUAACCCUGGGCCUGCAGUGGAUACGGGCAGACUAGAGUGUGGCAGGGGAGACUGGAAUUCCUGGUGUAGCGGUGAAAUGCGCAGAUAUCAGGAGGAACACCGGUGGCGAAGGCGGGUCUCUGGGCCAUAACUGACGCUGAGGAGCGAAAGCGUGGGGAGCGAACAGG
Molecule: ribosomal RNA, 253 nt
Filed under: uncultured bacterium
Lineage: Bacteria
Description: partial 16S ribosomal RNA
Rfam family: Bacterial small subunit ribosomal RNA
Source: RNAcentral